This 5638-nucleotide long non-coding RNA is filed under the name Mytilus galloprovincialis (Mediterranean mussel). Lineage: Eukaryota; Metazoa; Mollusca; Bivalvia; Mytilida; Mytilidae. The record is from RNAcentral.
UAAGGAAGAAAACGAUUGUUUUUUUCUGUUAUGUUUAAUCUGUUACAAUUUAUUGUUUGUCAGAUUUAUUUUAUAUGAUUCAGUUUUUAACUCCUGUAUGCUUAAUUGAUGAUUAGCUCAAACAUAUCUAAAGAUGGUGUCUCAUAUGGGAGAGCUCAAUCAUUGACACCUGUAAGCUAUAUAAGAGAAUGAUUGAUAACUGUGUAUAUAAACUUCGAGGGAGUCCUCUUCCUAUAUACAAGGUGAUAGGACGUGCCGCUGGAAUAGUUCACCUUUUCAAGCUUGAAAAUAUGUGAAUAGGUCAGGAAAACUAUCAGAAAUAUAUGAUAAGGUCAAUAAAGUUCCAAUAACUUGGUCUGUCAUCUUUCUUGGUGUUUCCAGCUGUGUUUUAUCAACCUAUUUUCACUCAUUUGGCACUUUGGUAUUUCACUGUUACAUUACACACCGAACCAAACCAAAACCAUAUGGGGAAAUGGUCACAUUUUUACCUACCUAAUAUAUGAAAAGGUUUACAUUUUUGAAAUCUAAAUUAUAUGAAAAGGGUGGGGUAACAGAAACCCAGCAGCACACCCUAUCAAUUUAAUAUUGAAGUGGCUCCCCGGGAUAUAAUCUGUAAAAUCAGAAAACAGUUUUUAAAACACUGCAUUACAUUGCUUUCUUAACAUGUAUCUAAUUAGGAUUCAUCAAUCAGUUUUCAUGGUCUGAUAAGUGUGAUUAAUGUAUUGUGAAAUGACAUUCAUUGAUGUUUGGUAUAGAAAUUGAAGUGUAUUAUAUAUAUAUAUUAUGAAUUAGAAUUUAUACCUAUCCACUCAUACUACCACACAUUGUAUAUAGAUAUAGAAUAUAGAUUGUUUAGGAUUUUAUUUUUAUGAAUACUUGUGUUAAGAGAAUCAAAACAAAGAACACUGUACUUCUUUUACAGCCUAUUGCAUUGAGUGUGUUGGCAAAGGUUAUAUCUUUUGAUACUUGCUUGCUUGCUGAACCGUGAAGUUGUUAAUAUGUUAGGUAAAUUACCCUCCUUUAAGAGUAGAUUAGUCCGAUAAAUAACCAAUCUAUCUGUCUGUAGGACCAGUCUUCUUUGAAAGGAGGCUAGUAUACCUUACCUAAUAAUGACUUCACAGUUCAGCUAGGAAGCAAGCUAACAAAAAAAUUUACCUUUACCUACACACUCAAUGAAAUCUGCUAUAAAUUUUAAGAAAGGCUUCCCAAUUUAGCUUAGCAAAUUUAACACCUUUGAAAGUUCAUGCUGUUAUAGAAAUGUUUGUAAAAAUAGUCCAUAUAAAUAACUAAUUGUUCUUUAGUUGUGUUAGUAAAGGGUUUUAACUCCUUGCAAGAGGUACAGUAAUAGCAAUAAAAGGAAUAUGCGAAAAAGAUAAAUAACCUUUUAAUUAAAGAUAAAUUACAUGUAUCUGAAAUGAAGUAGACAUCAGUUACCCAUCUUAUUAUGAAUGAAAAUUGGUUCUGAAAGUAAAAAAUUAGCUUACAUGGAUAUCUGUAAGAUUAAUAAUUAAUUUGCCAAAGGUUUCCACUCAAUUAAUUAAAUUACAAUUCAAAGACUAGAUUUUUAUGAUCAGAUAACUUUUAAGAUUAUUAAAAAAAAUCUGUGAAGAUAAUGAAUAUUCCCUCAAAAUUUUGAUGACUAAUCAAAAAACAUAUUUUGUAGAAGACCCCUAAUACAUUGAAAUAUGUAAUGAUUUGCCUUUCUUGUCAAUCAUAAAUGAAUUUCAGCUCUGGUUCAUUUCACUUUAAACAUGCAUGAACUUUUUCUUUAAAUUACAUCUACUAUAAACGUCUUCUUUGUACGGCACAUUCCAAGUAUGAUUUUUUAAUGGCAGUGUAGUAUGGUGAUAAAAUUGUGAUAGCACUGUUAUGUUUGUAAAGUUUAUGUUUUUGAGGGUGGAUAUUUUAUGGACAUGUAUAUAUAAAUUGUUUUUAUCAAUGUUUAUUACCCAGUAUAUAUGGUGUACAAUUUUGUUAAUAACGUUAUAUGAAACCAUAACCAUAAUCUUCGACAUCUUUCAAUUUUACAAUUUUUAAAGGCGGUAAUAUUUAACUGUUUUUACAUUUAAAAAAAAGUUUUAAUUCCAGUAAUGAUAGCUGUUUAAAUUAAAAACAAUUGAAAUUAGAAAUUAAUUCAUUACAGAAGUUUCAGGAAUUGACCUGAUGCAAUAUAUGAGUAGGGUAAAUAUCUCGUUAAGUCCCAUUAGUUAUUAUGACAUUUUGGAAGUAUAUGGUAUAUAUUUUGCAUUUUUAAAAGUCUAUUUAGAAAAUUGUUGAAAAUUAUUUUACUAUAGAUUGAAGGUGUAAGUUCCAAAUAAGCCCAUUGCUGGAUAAUGGUUGUUGUCUGUUUGAUUCAUAUUCCAAUAAAUGUAACGUAAAAUAUAUGUAACUUUGUUGUACAAGUUCGUAGACAAAUACAUUAUGCUGUCUUCAGAAUUGUGUUUGUCCAUUCAUUUUGUAUAUUUUGAUUUUGAAAUGGAAGUUAGGCAUUUAUUUUUUUUAUAACUUACAGGGUUCAAAUAGCAGGAAGUCAAUGAAAUCUGAUGGCAAAUUUUGAUAAGACUUGUCGAAAAAUCAAUCAUUCCAACAACAAAUUCUGUAAGUUUAUGAAUGUGAAAUAAUUGUACAUUUGUGAUGAAUAGGUAAAAUAUGUAUAUAAUUGUUCUUCUAAUACUGGGUAUUUGUUGAUUGACAUUUUAUUCUAUUGUGAAGUUUUAUUUUUAUAUAGAUAACUAAUAGGUCAUAUGAUUCCAUUUUCACAAAUCAAUAUAUUGUGGUAUUUCAUCUUUCACAAGUUUUCAAAGAUUAUAAGGUUAAUUUUGUUAUUGUUAUAUUGUAUAAGAAUUUUAAUAUUAUUAUAGUUUAUUAUUGACUUGGAUGGUUUCCUUUUUCUGAGAUUAAUAACAUUGAAACAUUUUAAUCCAAUAUAUAGAAAUUUUAUUUGUCUUUCCCAGGCCAGACUCGCACUCAAUGCAUUCAGUCUGUGAUAAAUUUCCAUGAGAAAAAAAUGUAAAAAUUAAAUACUAUGUCUGUAUAAAAGUUUUGUAUUUGAAGGAAAAUGAAUAUCUAAAUUACUAUUUACACUUGAAAAAAACCUGGUUAAAUUGAAGUUUUCCUAGUGCUUAUAUACAUAAAGCACUACUCUUACACCUAACAUUUCAUGUAAUGUAUAAGAUUAUGAAUAAAUGAAUUCUCUCAUAAAAUUUUAAAUGUGGAAUAAAUUGAUUGUAUUAUUUGGUAAGCUUAUGACUUUUAAUUAUUUAUCCAUUUUCUCAAAUAUUCAAAUAAAGAAAGUAUUCACCAAGACAAAAUAGCACAUGCAUUGUACAAUCAUCAAAGCAAAAAUUUCAAGCUAUUAAAUAAAAAUGUUGUCAGAAAUUAAGGUCUAUUGAAAAGGUCUUGGAAACCAAGUUAUAGCUCUUAUAUCUUCAAUCACAACAAAUGAAAAUAUUUUGGAACAGAAGUAAGCAGCAUAUAUGGGUCCAUUUGUGUACAUUCCAAUUUUACACUAUUAUUUUGUUGUUGUUAAGAAUAUAUUUAAAAGCAUUUUAUUAUUAGAAAUAAUUUGUUUAUAUCACACAUUUCCUUUCUUUUUUUAGAAAGAUUGUUCGAUUAAAAAUUGAAAAUAAUUAAUUCACAAAUUAUUUGCCCUUGUCUAAGAUUUUGCAAUUAUUUUAAUACCUUGUUACAGAAGCUGUGAUUGGUUGAAAUUUUUAAUGACCAAUGUUAUUCUUAUCAUAUUUGUUGAUAGACUUCCUAAACAUUUUAUGCUUCUGUUUUAUAAUUGUUUCAUUUAAUAGGUAGAUAUAUGAUGAUGAAAUUAUUCUCAACUGUAUUUUUCUGAACCCUUGAAUAAGUGAAUAUUCACAGAAUUUGUUUUACAAUGACCAGAGUUUUUUAUUGAUCUGAAAAUUUGUAUUUCAUCGUUGUUGUUUUUAAAAUAUAUCAGAAUUCACAAACCAUUUUAUCGAUAUCAUCUUGGUAACUCAUUAUACGCAAAUGUUUAGAUAUACAUUCUGUGAACACUUGUAAAUGCUGUGCACUUUACCUUUUCUUGUGCUUUCAUUUGUAAAAAUCAAUCAUUUAAGUAGUUUUAGUCAGGGAAUAUUGAUACAAAGUCAGACCUCUGUAACAACUGGUGUAGAAACGUUACUUUUGGGAAUUUCUAACAGCAGAAUUUAUCUUACAUUAUAUUAUGUACCAUUUACCAAAAUUUGUUCAUAUGGAGACUUAAAUAUCUUAAAAAAGACAGCUUUUUAGAGAGGGGUAGGGGUCUCAACAUACACAUUUGGGUACUGACAUCAUAUUUUGAAUAAGAAAAUAACAACCCAUUUAUAUAUACUUCCCAGGUAUGAUCUUAUUCAGAUGCCAAAGACAUGAUGUCAUUCAUAUUAUGAAGAUAAAUAGAUAUAAGAACACAUUUUUACAGACAUUUAACUGAAGAUGAACACAUAUGACCUAUUGAUAUAUCAAUGGCGGAUCCAGAGGGAGUUGGAACUCACCUUUUUUUUCAGCGAUCAAUGCAUUUGAAUGGUGACAUAUAAUUGGAACACUCACACAACCUUUUAUCCGGGGUUGGUAACACCCCCCCCCCCCCCCCCCUGAAAAAAAGAACUGGAUCUGCCCCUGUAUAUUACCUUGGUGAAAUUGCACCCUAACUCUAUAUUUUACAUUCCAUAAAAUCUUAGUUUACCUUUAUAGAGCCCCCCAAAUCCCCCUGUGAUUGGCAUUUAGCUUUAUGCAUUCAUAAAAUGAUAAGAAAUUGUUGGGUUGCAGAAGUAAAUUUUUAUCAACAUAAUAAUUAGAUAAAUUUGCUGUACAUACUUUUCUAUUAACUAAAUUAUCGGAUUUACCUUCCCUUCCUCUGGAUUAAAUCUUGCUUAUUAUAGUAACAAUUUGGAAUGAUCAUUUACUCUCAAGUGAGAUCCAAGAUGGGGAAGGACUCUCAUGCUACCUCAAGUUUAUAUCUUAAUCAGUUUCUUUGUAUUGUUUGAACUGUAAAAGAUAGUUUAUGGUGAAAAGUUUAUUAAUUGCAACCAUAACAAAACAAUUGUUAAUGUAUUUUCACUUAUCUGGUUAGUUUCUAGCUGAAUUGUAGACUUGUUUUUCUUCUCUUAAUGAAAAUAUGAGUAUUGACAAUAUCCCUUUAUAAUGUCCAGUUUUGAUUGUUUUUGGAUAAACAUAACUAGAAUGAUACUGAUUUCGUUAAAAGAUUUUUUAUGGUUAAACCACCGUACAUGAAAAUAUAGAGAUGUGUUAUACAAGUGUUCACUAUAAGACCAAAGUACACAGAUAUGAUCAACUAUUUUUACCAAUGAUGGAUAUUAAGAAGUUGAAUAAUGUAAUCUAUAAAAAUCUUUUUAAGUAUGUAUGUUGUUAUUUUUAAAAAAUACUGUUAAUAUACAAAACCAUUCAAACAGAUCAUGACAAUUAAAUACAGAUUAAAAAAGAAGUUAUUUGCUUUUUUUCUUUUUUUUUGCUGUUGUAAUUUCAUACUUUCUAGAGUAAAAACUUAUCAUUUAACGUCUUUCUACACCAGUUUAGUCCUUCUUUUGUUUAUAUCACUACAUCCUCACAGAACUUGUAUUAAACCAAAUUGUAUAUUGGUAAUCCAACAAUAAAUGUUUUAACACCCGAG